Paramuricea clavata is the source of this 272-nucleotide non-coding RNA. The record is from the annotation of a GenBank genome assembly. NCBI's taxonomy places the organism in Eukaryota, Metazoa, Cnidaria, Anthozoa, Malacalcyonacea, Plexauridae.
CCACAAUCAUCAUCACCACAAUCAUCAUCACCACAAUCAUCAUUACCACCACCAUCAUCACCACCACCAUCAUCACCACAAUCAUCAUCACCACAAUCAUCAUUACCACCACCAUCAUUACCACCACCAUCAUUACCACCACCAUCAUCACCACAAUCAUCACCACAAUCAUUACCACCACCAUCAUCACCACAAUCAUCACCACCACCAUCAUUACCAUCACCAUCAUUACCACCACCAUCAUCACCACAAUCAUCAUUACCACCAUCAUC